This 472-nucleotide ribosomal RNA is filed under the name uncultured bacterium. RNAcentral describes it as "bacterial SSU rRNA". It matches the Rfam family "Bacterial small subunit ribosomal RNA", at positions 335 to 799 of the family's 1533-position model. The record is from RNAcentral.
ACUCCUACGGGAGGCAGCAGUGGGGAAUAUUGCACAAUGGGCGCAAGCCUGAUGCAGCCAUGCCGCGUGUGUGAAGAAGGCCUUCGGGUUGUAAAGCACUUUCAGUCGUGAGGAAGGUAGUGUAGUUAAUAGCUGCAUUAUUUGACGUUAGCGACAGAAGAAGCACCGGCUAACUCCGUGCCAGCAGCCGCGGUAAUACGGAGGGUGCGAGCGUUAAUCGGAAUUACUGGGCGUAAAGCGCAUGCAGGUGGUUUGUUAAGUCAGAUGUGAAAGCCCGGGGCUCAACCUCGGAAUUGCAUUUGAAACUGGCAGACUAGAGUACUGUAGAGGGGGUAGAAUUUCAGGUGUAGCGGUGAAAUGCGUAGAGAUCUGAAGGAAUACCGGUGGCGAAGGCGGCCCCCUGGACAGAUACUGACACUCAGAUGCGAAAGCGUGGGGAGCAAACAGGAUUAGAUACCCUGGUAGGACAGUG